Molecule: ribosomal RNA, 252 nt
Filed under: uncultured bacterium
Lineage: Bacteria
Description: partial 16S ribosomal RNA
Rfam family: Bacterial small subunit ribosomal RNA
Source: RNAcentral
CACGUAGGGCGCAAGCGUUGUCCGGAAUUAUUGGGCGUAAAGAGCUUGUAGGCGGUUUGUCGCGUCUGCUGUGAAAAUCCGGGGCUCAACCCGGACUUGCAGUGGGUACGGGCAGACUAGAGUGUGGUAGGGGAGACUGGAAUUCCUGGUGUAGCGGUGAAAUGCGCAGAUAUCAGGAGGAACACCGAUGGCGAAGGCAGGUCUCUGGGCCACUACUGACGCUGAGAAGCGAAAGCAUGGGGAGCGAACAGG